RNAcentral lists this ribosomal RNA (265 nucleotides) under uncultured bacterium. RNAcentral's name for it is "partial 16S ribosomal RNA". The record is from RNAcentral.
CUGCUGCCUUCCGUAGGAGUCUGGGCCGUGUCUCAGUCCCAGUGUGGCCGUCCACCCUCUCAGGCCGGCUGCUGAUCGUCGCUUUGGUGGGCCGUUACCCCGCCAACUGGCUAAUCAGACGCGGGCCCAUCCUGUACACCGGAGUUUUCAAAGGAUUACCAUGCGGUAUUCCCUAUUAUGCGGUAUUAGCACCUAUUUCUAAGUGUUAUCCCCCGGUACAGGGCAGGUUGCCCACGCGUUACUCACCCGUCCGCCACUAAGACAG